AUAAUGGGUCAGCGACUUAUAUUCUGUAGCAAGGUUAACCGAAUAGGGGAGCCGAAGGGAAACCGAGUCUUAACUGGGCGUUAAGUUGCAGGGUAUAGACCCGAAACCCGGUGAUCUAGCCAUGGGCAGGUUGAAGGUUGGGUAACACUAACUGGAGGACCGAACCGACUAAUGUUGAAAAAUUAGCGGAUGACUUGUGGCUGGGGGUGAAAGGCCAAUCAAACCGGGAGAUAGCUGGUUCUCCCCGAAAGCUAUUUAGGUAGCGCCUCGUGAAUUCAUCUCCGGGGGUAGAGCACUGUUUCGGCAAGGGGGUCAUCCCGACUUACCAACCCGAUGCAAACUGCGAAUACCGGAGAAUGUUAUCACGGGAGACACACGGCGGGUGCUAACGUCCGUCGUGAAGAGGGAAACAACCCAGACCGCCAGCUAAGGUCCCAAAGUCAUGGUUAAGUGGGAAACGAUGUGGGAAGGCCCAGACAGCCAGGAUGUUGGCUUAGAAGCAGCCAUCAUUUAAAGAAAGCGUAAUAGCUCACUGGUCGAGUCGGCCUGCGCGGAAGAUGUAACGGGGCUAAACCAUGCACCGAAGCUGCGGCAGCGACACUGUGUGUUGUUGGGUAGGGGAGCGUUCUGUAAGCCUGUGAAGGUGUGCUGUGAGGCAUGCUGGAGGUAUCAGAAGUGCGAAUGCUGACAUAAGUAACGAUAAAGCGGGUGAAAAGCCCGCUCGCCGGAAGACCAAGGGUUCCUGUCCAACGUUAAUCGGGGCAGGGUGAGUCGACCCCUAAGGCGAGGCCGAAAGGCGUAGUCGAUGGGAAACAGGUUAAUAUUCCUGUACUUGGUGUUACUGCGAAGGGGGGACGGAGAAGGCUAUGUUGGCCGGGCGACGGUUGUCCCGGUUUAAGCGUGUAGGCUGGUUUUCCAGGCAAAUCCGGAAAAUCAAGGCUGAGGCGUGAUGACGAGGCACUACGGUGCUGAAGCAACAAAUGCCCUGCUUCCAGGAAAAGCCUCUAAGCAUCAGGUAACAUCAAAUCGUACCCCAAACCGACACAGGUGGUCAGGUAGAGAAUACCAAGGCGCUUGAGAGAACUCGGGUGAAGGAACUAGGCAAAAUGGUGCCGUAACUUCGGGAGAAGGCACGCUGAUAUGUAGGUGAAGUCCCUCGCGGAUGGAGCUGAAAUCAGUCGAAGAUACCAGCUGGCUGCAACUGUUUAUUAAAAACACAGCACUGUGCAAACACGAAAGUGGACGUAUACGGUGUGACGCCUGCCCGGUGCCGGAAGGUUAAUUGAUGGGGUCAGCGCAAGCGAAGCUCUUGAUCGAAGCCCCGGUAAACGGCGGCCGUAACUAUAACGGUCCUAAGGUAGCGAAAUUCCUUGUCGGGUAAGUUCCGACCUGCACGAAUGGCGUAAUGAUGGCCAGGCUGUCUCCACCCGAGACUCAGUGAAAUUGAACUCGCUGUGAAGAUGCAGUGUACCCGCGGCAAGACGGAAAGACCCCGUGAACCUUUACUAUAGCUUGACACUGAACAUUGAGCCUUGAUGUGUAGGAUAGGUGGGAGGCUUUGAAGUGUGGACGCCAGUCUGCAUGGAGCCGACCUUGAAAUACCACCCUUUAAUGUUUGAUGUUCUAACGUGGACCCGUGAUCCGGGUUGCGGACAGUGUCUGGUGGGUAGUUUGACUGGGGCGGUCUCCUCCUAAAGAGUAACGGAGGAGCACGAAGGUUGGCUAAUCCUGGUCGGACAUCAGGAGGUUAGUGCAAUGGCAUAAGCCAGCUUGACUGCGAGCGUGACGGCGCGAGCAGGUGCGAAAGCAGGUCAUAGUGAUCCGGUGGUUCUGAAUGGAAGGGCCAUCGCUCAACGGAUAAAAGGUACUCCGGGGAUAACAGGCUGAUACCGCCCAAGAGUUCAUAUCGACGGCGGUGUUUGGCACCUCGAUGUCGGCUCAUCACAUCCUGGGGCUGAAGUAGGUCCCAAGGGUAUGGCUGUUCGCCAUUUAAAGUGGUACGCGAGCUGGGUUUAGAACGUCGUGAGACAGUUCGGUCCCUAUCUGCCGUGGGCGCUGGAGAACUGAGGGGGGCUGCUCCUAGUACGAGAGGACCGGAGUGGACGCAUCACUGGUGUUCGGGUUGUCAUGCCAAUGGCACUGCCCGGUAGCUAAAUGCGGAAGAGAUAAGUGCUGAAAGCAUCUAAGCACGAAACUUGCCCCGAGAUGAGUUCUCCCUGACCCUUUAAGGGUCCUGAAGGAACGUUGAAGACGACGACGUUGAUAGGCCGGGUGUGUAAGCGCAGCGAUGCGUUGAGCUAACCGGUACUAAUGAACCGUGAGGCUUAACCUU
This 2332-nucleotide ribosomal RNA is filed under the name Escherichia coli. RNAcentral's name for it is "partial 23S ribosomal RNA". It matches the Rfam family "Bacterial large subunit ribosomal RNA", at positions 612 to 2925 of the family's 2925-position model. RNAcentral also lists the same sequence under 1 other name. The record is from RNAcentral. Lineage: Bacteria; Pseudomonadati; Pseudomonadota; Gammaproteobacteria; Enterobacterales; Enterobacteriaceae.